UCUCAGCCCCGCCUGCUUCUGGUCUCAGCUUGACGAAGACCAAGAAGACGGAUGCCGAGGAACCCUCAUACUCCACCCGAACGACAAAUAGAGGUGCUUCCAAAACAAGAACAGUGAUGGAUCUCCCCAAAAGUAAAUGAAGAAAGAAUUGGAAUUUCUUUUU
Molecule: long non-coding RNA, 163 nt
Organism: Juglans microcarpa x Juglans regia
Lineage: Eukaryota; Viridiplantae; Streptophyta; Magnoliopsida; Fagales; Juglandaceae
Exons: 2
Source: RefSeq, a predicted model, not a curated record